This 253-nucleotide ribosomal RNA is filed under the name uncultured bacterium. RNAcentral's name for it is "partial 16S ribosomal RNA". It matches the Rfam family "Bacterial small subunit ribosomal RNA", at positions 524 to 776 of the family's 1533-position model. The record is from RNAcentral.
UACGUAGGGACCAAGCGUUGUUCGGAUUUACUGGGCGUAAAGGGCGCGUAGGCGGCAAUUCAAGUCAGUUGUGAAAUCUCCGAGCUUAACUCGGAACGGUCAACUGAUACUGUCUUGCUAGAGUACAGAAGGGGCAAUCGGAAUUCUUGGUGUAGCGGUGAAAUGCGUAGAUAUCAAGAGGAACACCUGAGGUGAAGACGGGUUGCUGGGCUGAUACUGACGCUGAGACACGAAAGCGUGGGUAGCAAACAGG